GAGUUUGAAUCUUGGCUCAGAUUGAACGCUGGCGGCAUGCCUUACACAUGCAAGUCGAACGGCAGCACGGGAGCUUGCUCCUGGUGGCGAGUGGCGAACGGGUGAGUAAUGCAUCGGAACGUAUCCUGGAGUGGGGGAUAACGUAGCGAAAGUUACGCUAAUACCGCAUAUUCUGUGAGCAGGAAAGCGGGGGACCUUCGGGCCUCGCGCUCUUGGAGCGGCCGAUGUCGGAUUAGCUAGUUGGUGAGGUAAAGGCUCACCAAGGCGACGAUCCGUAGCAGGUCUGAGAGGAUGAUCUGCCACACUGGAACUGAGACACGGUCCAGACUCCGUACGGGAGGCAGCAGGUGGGUAAUUUUGGACAAGUGGGGGCAACCCGUGAUCCAGCCAUGCCGCGUGAGUGAAGAAGG
Molecule: ribosomal RNA, 410 nt
Filed under: bacterium enrichment culture clone ALO1_GLFRUDD03G8DI3
Lineage: Bacteria
Description: bacterial SSU rRNA
Rfam family: Bacterial small subunit ribosomal RNA
Source: RNAcentral